Molecule: long non-coding RNA, 2649 nt
Filed under: Helianthus annuus (common sunflower)
Lineage: Eukaryota; Viridiplantae; Streptophyta; Magnoliopsida; Asterales; Asteraceae
Description: hypothetical non coding rna
Source: RNAcentral
UUUUGGGUUAUCUUUCCUUAGAAGUGUAUGUUUUUUAGGGUUUUAACUUGUUCUUAUUUAGCAAAGCUUGGAACUUUAUUAUACAAAUUCACGGGCUAAAUCAAUGAAGAUGAUGAUGAUGAUGUUCUUAUUGUGUUCUUGAGUGCUCUUCUUUUGUUUUCUUAGAUUUCUAGAUUAUUUUGGGUUCAAUCAUCAAAUCGAUUGGUGUGUUGGAUCUGAAAUUUGUUGAGAAACAUCACUGGCAUUGUAGAUCUGGGUUUUGGGACCUAUAAUUUGAUAUCAGAUAUUAAUGUUCUUGGUUGUUUAAAAUUUUAGGGCUUUUGAAAAAGUUUCAUAGUUUUUACAAUUUCUAAGAUCUAGAUCUGAUUAUGAUGGAUUGGUUGUUGUUUCUUACUUAAAACACUUACAAAUUUGAUUUGGAAGCUUCCUAUUAAUUCAACUGAUGAGUUGAUUGUAUUUAUGGAUUGUUUUGUGUGAUUUUGGUGUUGAAUAGUUAAAAGGGGUUGUUUCAGCAAGAUCAACGACACCGGUUCUCGAAUAUGGUGACACUGACGGUUAUUGAUUUUAAAUUGAAGAAGGGUUUCCUCGAGGCACUACUAGCGACCCUCAAGCUUUAAGCCGUAAUCUGUUUGGCAUCGCAUAUCAGUGUUCACUAAUUCUGUUUGAGCGACACAGAACCAGCAACACUUAAGCUUCUGACGACACUAUUGCAUAUUCUCUUAAAAUCCCUUCAAAAUCUUCAAAUUGCUCAAAGUGAUCUUGAACUUAUUCCCACAUCUAGACUACCUACACUGAAGUCUAGUGAUGAGUUUGUUAAAUAGAAAGGAAAAAUGGAAAAAUAAAAUUACUUCACUAAUGCAUCUUUUAUCUAGACUUAACAAAAGUUAAUGUUUGAUAUGUUACAAAAUAUACAUGAAAUGUAUUUUCCUCUACGAUUUUAGCAGGUUUGCGUAUGGUUUAUUGAAAAUUCAAGAACUAAUUGGCGAUUUACGAUUUUUUUAGAUAAGUCUAGUGAAAGGAGAUAAAAAGGUAUGGAAAUAUGAAUUCGAAACCAAGAAUGAAGUUUAGAAGCGAAAGCUGAAAUAAUUUCUGAUGUUUGGAUCUGUAACAGAUUGUUAUGGAUCCAUAACAAUCUGUUAUCACUAUUAGUUAAAAGUCAAAGCCCUUCAAGAUGGUCCAUGUUCUAGAGAUUCAUGACGGAUCAUCACAUCUUACGCUGGUUAGGAAAACCCUAAAAUUCACUAUUUAAGGCGUUUUGACGGCCAAUUUUGGGAAAAUUCGACUAGAGACAAUUACUUUCAAUGGAGAUUGAAGAUUUAAAGUAGGAACUGAGAUUUGGAAGGCUUGGAUUAUAGAUCAGAGAGUUAAAAGGUUUUUCUAUGAUUGGCUUAUCAUUCUUACACCUUUUGUAUUCGAUUUCUGAGAUUGUUUUCAUAAUGUUUUUGACUUUUAAUAAGUUUCUUAUGUUUCUAAACAUCAUGAGUAGAUAACUCAUUAGCCUACCUUGGUUUGGAUGAAUGUUGUAUGAGUUGAUUGCUUUCUGGGUUUGAUUUAUCGUGUGGUAUGAUUGCUAUUGACAAAACUUGUUCAUGAUUGACUUUUAAUGGUUAUGCAUUUUGCUUUUGAUUGAGAUUCGUACUUGUCCCUGUGAAUUGAUUUGUAACAUCCUAUUUUGUGAAGAAAUAAGAUUAUAUAUAAAGUUUAUACUUCGUAUAUUGUUGAACGAGUAAGAUGGUUACUUGAAAUGUUAGAUAUUUAGAUGAAUAGUGUAACGCCUCGUAUCUUCGUAUUUCUAUUUUAAAAAUGUUCGUAUUCGUAUUCUAAUUUUAGAAACCUUACAUUCGUAUUUUAAUUUCAAUCUCACAAUUCGAGGCGUUAAUCAUAAUAAAAUUCAUAUUUUAUACAUUUGUUUUUACACAAUCGAUCACUUAAAUACGUAUUUAUACGCAAACCGACAUAAUUAUACGUAUAAAUACUUAUUCGCACAUCCUCAAUACUUGAAUUAUACUUUUAUACUUUUUAUAUAUACUCAAUUACAUAAUUUAUACUCAAGAAAUACCAAGAAAUAUACCAAUCAUCUUUCCACCUCAUCAAUCCUCUUCCACAUUUUUUAGCCAAUCAUAUUUCACCCUUUUCCACCAAUCAUCUUUUCAAUCCUCUUCCACCUUUUUUAACCAAUCAUAUUUCACCCUUUUCCACCUUCUCUACCUAUAAAUACCAACCUCCUUCUACCAUUUUCUUCACACCAUUCUUCUCUCCAUCUCUCUAAUUCUCUCAAUCUCUCUAAAUCAAGAAUUCUAAAAGUACACUAAGUGUUCUAACCAUUCUUCUCUCAACCUCUUUACUUCUCUCAAAUCGUCAAAGCAAGGAAGAGAACUCUAAGAGUUCUAAAAGAAAACACUAAGUGUUUUAUAGGAAGCUUUGAAGCUCCAAUCUCUAACUCUUCACGGAAUCACCAAAGGAAACUUUGCAAAACUGUUUUGAGAUGAUGUUGAUGAUGCAUGGGACAUAGUAUGAUGCUUAGAUACACAUUUAAAAUUUUGUAUUCUUAUUGUAUUGUCAUUCUUGUAUUUCAAGUUGUUGUAUUUGAUUCCAACCUUUGUAAUUGACUUUUAGAAAUGAAAUGAAAUUCAUUAUUUAAUUAUUGUC